This 298-nucleotide long non-coding RNA is filed under the name Ixodes scapularis (black-legged tick). RNAcentral describes it as "uncharacterized LOC120850704". Lineage: Eukaryota; Metazoa; Arthropoda; Arachnida; Ixodida; Ixodidae. The record is from RNAcentral.
UGUGCACAUUUCAAGCUACCCAAGAUAGCACGCGGCGGCGUCCAGAGACAAGAGGCCAUGAAUACGCUGAUCAAGGACCACACUGCAGCACGCUUCAGACCAUCUGGUCGCAGCUGCCUGAGCACCCAAUUUGGACUGACAGACCGGAUGUAGCCCUAAGACAGGAAAGGGCGAGGAGGCCUGCUGGCCAUAUGGACAGCGACUCUUCGGACGAUGCCUCAAGAGAAAGAGUGUGUCCCGGGCUGAAGAGAGCCGCGUCUACCACAACCUGGAUGCAGGGAACUUCUCCGAAGGGGUG